AUUGAACGCUGGCGGCAGGCCUAACACAUGCAAGUCGAACGGUAGCACAGAGAGCUUGCUCUCGGGUGACGAGUGGCGGACGGGUGAGUAACGUCUGGGAAACUGCCCGAUGGAGGGGGAUAACUACUGGAAACGGUAGCUAAUACCGCAUAACGUCGCAAGACCAAAGUGGGGGACCUUCGGGCCUCACACCAUCGGAUGUGCCCAGAUGGGAUUAGCUAGUAGGUGGGGUAAUGGCUCACCUAGGCGACGAUCCCUAGCUGGUCUGAGAGGAUGACCAGCCACACUGGAACUGAGACACGGUCCAGACUCCUACGGGAGGCAGCAGUGGGGAAUAUUGCACAAUGGGCGCAAGCCUGAUGCAGCCAUGCCGCGUGUAUGAAGAAGGCCUUCGGGUUGUAAAGUACUUUCAGCGGGGAGGAAGGCGGUGAAGUUAAUAGCUUCACCGAUUGACGUUACCCGCAGAAGAAGCACCGGCUAACUCCGUGCCAGCAGCCGCCGCCG
RNAcentral lists this ribosomal RNA (504 nucleotides) under uncultured bacterium. Its description in RNAcentral is "partial 16S ribosomal RNA". It matches the Rfam family "Bacterial small subunit ribosomal RNA", at positions 29 to 523 of the family's 1533-position model. The record is from RNAcentral.